This 482-nucleotide ribosomal RNA is filed under the name uncultured bacterium. RNAcentral describes it as "bacterial SSU rRNA". It matches the Rfam family "Bacterial small subunit ribosomal RNA", at positions 30 to 506 of the family's 1533-position model. The record is from RNAcentral.
UUGAACGCUGGCGGAAUGCUUUACACAUGCAAGUCGAGCGGCAGCGCGGGGGCAACCCUGGCGGCGAGCGGCGAACGGGUGAGUAACAUAUCGGAACGUACCCUAUCGUGGGGGAUAACACAGCGAAAGUUACGCUAAUACCGCAUAUGCCCUGAGGGGGAAAGGGGGGGAUCGCAAGACCUCUCGCUUUCGGAGUGGCCGAUAUCAGAUUAGCUAGUUGGUGAGGUAAAGGCUCACCAAGGCGACGAUCUGUAGCUGGUCUGAGAGGACGACCAGCCACACUGGGACUGAGACACGGCCCAGACUCCUACGGGAGGCAGCAGUGGGGAAUUUUGGACAAUGGGCGCAAGCCUGAUCCAGCCAUGCCGCGUGAGUGAAGAAGGCCUUCGGGUUGUAAAGCUCUUUCGGACAGAAAGAAAUCGCACUGGUUAAUACCUUGUGUGGAUGACGGUACUGUAAGAAGAAGCACCGGCUAACUACGU